Molecule: ribosomal RNA, 253 nt
Filed under: uncultured bacterium
Lineage: Bacteria
Description: partial 16S ribosomal RNA
Rfam family: Bacterial small subunit ribosomal RNA
Source: RNAcentral
UACGGGGGGGGCGAGCGUUGUCCGAAGUUACUGGGCGUAAAGCGCGUGUAGGCGGGUUGUUAAGUCCGCUGUGAAAGCCCGGUGCUCAACGCCGGAGGGUCGGUGGAUACUGGCAGUCUUGAAGUGGCUAGGGGGAAAUGGAAUUACCGGUGUAGCGGUGAAAUGCGUAGAUAUCGGUAGGAACACCAGUGGCGAAGGCGGUUUCCUGGAGCCCACUUGACGCUGAGACGCGAAAGCUAGGGGAGCAAACAGG